RNAcentral lists this ribosomal RNA (460 nucleotides) under uncultured bacterium. Its description in RNAcentral is "partial 16S ribosomal RNA". It matches the Rfam family "Bacterial small subunit ribosomal RNA", at positions 338 to 795 of the family's 1533-position model. The record is from RNAcentral.
CCUACGGGAGGCUGCAGUGAGGAAUAUUGGUCAAUGGGCGGGAGCCUGAACCAGCCAAGUCGCGUGAGGGAAGACGGUCCUAUGGAUUGUAAACCUCUUUAGGCGGGGAGCAAUGCCGGGCACGUGUGCCCGGCGGGAGAGUACCCGCAGAAUAAGCAUCGGCUAACUCCGUGCCAGCAGCCGCGGUAAUACGGAGGAUGCGAGCGUUAUCCGGAUUUAUUGGGUUUAAAGGGUGCGUAGGCGGAUUUUUAAGUCAGCGGUAAAAUGUCCGGGCUCAACCCGGGCCGGCCGUUGAAACUGGGGAUCUUGAGUGGGCGAGAAGUAUGCGGAAUGCGGGGUGUAGCGGUGAAAUGCAUAGAUAUCACGCAGAACUCCGAUUGCGAAGGCGGCUCUCUGGACUGUAACUGACACUGAGGCACGAAAGCGUGGGGAGCAAACAGGAUUAGAUACCCGGGUAGUC